Molecule: ribosomal RNA, 424 nt
Filed under: Shigella flexneri
Lineage: Bacteria; Pseudomonadati; Pseudomonadota; Gammaproteobacteria; Enterobacterales; Enterobacteriaceae
Description: bacterial SSU rRNA
Rfam family: Bacterial small subunit ribosomal RNA
Source: RNAcentral
AGUAAUGUCUGGGAAACUGCCUGAUGGAGGGGGAUAACUACUGGAAACGGUAGCUAAUACCGCAUAACGUCGCAAGACCAAAGAGGGGGACCUUCGGGCCUCUUGCCAUCGGAUGUGCCCAGAUGGGAUUAGCUUGUUGGUGGGGUAACGGCUCACCAAGGCGACGAUCCCUAGCUGGUCUGAGAGGAUGACCAGCCACACUGGAACUGAGACACGGUCCAGACUCCUACGGGAGGCAGCAGUGGGGAAUAUUGCACAAUGGGCGCAAGCCUGAUGCAGCCAUGCCGCGUGUAUGAAGAAGGCCUUCGGGUUGUAAAGUACUUUCAGCGGGGAGGAAGGGAGUAAAGUUAAUACCUUUGCUCAUUGACGUUACCCGCAGAAGAAGCACCGGCUAACUCCGUGCCAGCAGCCGCGGUAAUACGGA